AAAAAAAAUUUUUAUAGUUUUGAUAUUUUAUUUUAAAUAUAAUUUACAUAUAAAUUUUAGUGUUAAAUUUUAUUUAUUUUAAUAAUGAAUAAAAUUAUUAAGUAGUAAUUAACUUUAAAUUAUUUAAGAAAUUAAGAUUUAGUAAUUUG
This 149-nucleotide ribosomal RNA is filed under the name Lysandra hispana. RNAcentral describes it as "partial 12S ribosomal RNA". The record is from RNAcentral. Lineage: Eukaryota; Metazoa; Arthropoda; Insecta; Lepidoptera; Lycaenidae.